RNAcentral lists this ribosomal RNA (132 nucleotides) under Daphnia similoides. Its description in RNAcentral is "partial small subunit ribosomal RNA". Lineage: Eukaryota; Metazoa; Arthropoda; Branchiopoda; Diplostraca; Daphniidae. The record is from RNAcentral.
UUACUUCAGGUCAAGGUGCAGCUUAUAUAAAGGGAAUGAUGAGCUACAAUUCUAAUAAGAAUACGGAUUUUAAUUUAAAUUUUAAUUGAAGGUGGAUUUGUUAGUAAAUUUAUGUAGGAAAAUGAUUGAAUA